GUGAACGCUGGCGGUAGGCCUAACACAUGCAAGUCGAACGGCAGCACAGUAAGAGCUUGCUCUUCCGGGUGGCGAGUGGCGGACGGGCGAGGAAUACAUCGGAAUCUACUUUUUCGUGGGGGAUAACGUAGGGAAACUUACGCUAAUACCGCAUACGACCUACGGGUGAAAGCAGGGGAUCUUCGGACCUUGCGCGAUUGAAUGAGCCGAUGUCGGAUUAGCUAGUUGGCGGGGUAAAGGCCCACCAAGGCGACGAUCCGUAGCUGGUCUGAGAGGAUGAUCAGCCACACUGGAACUGAGACACGGUCCAGACUCCUACGGGAGGCAGCAGUGGGGAAUAUUGGACAAUGGGCGCAAGCCUGAUCCAGCCAUACCGCGUGGGUGAAGAAGGCCUUCGGGUUGUAAAGCCCUUUUGUUGGGAAAGAAAAGCAGCAGGUUAAUACCCCGCUGUUCUGACGGUACCCAAAGAAUAAGCACCGGCUAACUUCGUG
Molecule: ribosomal RNA, 491 nt
Filed under: uncultured bacterium
Lineage: Bacteria
Description: partial 16S ribosomal RNA
Rfam family: Bacterial small subunit ribosomal RNA
Source: RNAcentral